RNAcentral lists this long non-coding RNA (3112 nucleotides) under Olea europaea subsp. europaea. Lineage: Eukaryota; Viridiplantae; Streptophyta; Magnoliopsida; Lamiales; Oleaceae. The record is from RNAcentral.
AGUAUAAUUAUUUUCGAACUCUUCCACUCACUGAGCUAUAAAUCCAUAUUUUUUCAUGAUUUUUCUUAUAGGUAGUAUUGGUCUCUAAUACUUUGAGAAGCCUGGUGUUUUAGAAUUAGAGCCACGCGACAUAUUGAGUGAUACAAUUCAUUUUGGUAAAACAUGAAGUAAUCGUUUCGGACCCAUUGUAUUAUAUUUUUCAUAAAUAUUUGAUUUCGGCGCAUAUUUUGUAGUAAGUCAUAGCCAGCCUUGGUGAUGGAUCUGACACAAGUCAGCACCUAUUAUCGGUGCACGUCACGUUCCUAAUCUAUUAGGGUGAUUCGGGACGGGGCGUGUUACCUUAUGACUAUCAAUUAAGCAAUUUUUAUCAAUUUAGAAGGAGAUUGACAUAGUAGUAAAAUUUCAAUUUAAAAUUGAAGUAAUCCAAUUGAAACUAAAUUGCGGUAAGUGAUCAUACUAAGCCAAAUUAAGUUUAAUGACCCAAUUGUGAUUUCACUAAAAGUGACCACAAGUGAAAUUUGAGAAAUGAUAUUCAUAAUCGUUAACUACAUUAGUCGCCCUACAUUCCUAUAUGACAGUUUGUGAUUUCAUAUAUUAAUGUGGGAGUUUUUUCUUGUCUCGUAUAUCAAAUCACUAACCACCACAUAUAAGCGACGUAGGAUGACUGCAACAAUGAGUGACUGCAAAUAGCAUUACCCUCAUUCAGUAGAAAAACUUAUAUAUCUACAAGAAUUAAAGAAAAUUGUUAUCCUCUCUUGCUUGGCUCCUUCCAUCACCAAUAAUAAACCUCUAAAGGGUAUAGUACUUUUCCACAUCAUUGUGCUUGUAUUUCUCCUUUUCUAUUUUUCUCAGGCUCACAUUUCUGCUUUUGUCAAUUUCAUUUCACUACUAAAAACACAUGGUUUUAGGCACGGAUUUUUUGUUCCCGAAAUCUCGAUAUUCAUUUCUAUUACUCUUUAUCAACGGAAUAUUUGCAACCGCAAAUCCAUUGCUAAUUUGAGGGUCGCUGAUAGUUAUCAACGGAUCCUAUCGUAGGUAAAAAGUAAACAUUUUACCAAAAAAAAUUUCAUUGAUAAAGUGUGAAUUUUUUACCAACAAAAUUUUCAUUGGUAAAAAUUUUAAUCAAUACCAACCUACUUUUCGUUGAUAAAUGUCUACCCUUACAAUUAGUAAAAAUCAAUAUUGUAAUUAGCCGUAUAGGUGUGAGGCAUGGAAAAAAAAAUUUAUCUAUUUUUUAUUAUUGUUAUUAUUAUUUAUUUAAUAAUUCUAAUUUUUUAACUUUUAGCUAACCAAAUUGGAAGGCCAAAAUAUUGUUUAACCACUUAUUGGACCACAAAUUAAUUUAUAGAGGGCAACUCCGAAGAUUUUGUUGUAAACUUUCGAUGUGGGAUAAGUGAAUUACUUUUACCAACGGAUAAUCCAUUUCUAAUUACCAACGAAAUAUCAGUAGGUGAAAUAUCCAAAUGUUAAAUGAUUACAUGAGGCACAAAAUAUCCAUUAAUAAAGAGAUAUCAUCUUUGAAAAUCCGUUGAUGAUUAUCGUAAUUCAAAGUGAAUUACUUUACCAACGGAUAAUCCGUUUCUAAUUAUCAACGGAUUGCAUCUGUUGAUAAUAUUCGAUACGUCACCUACGAAUAUUCCGUAGGUGAAAUAUCCAAAUGUUAAACGGUUACAUGAGGCAUAGAAUAUUCAUUGGUAAAAAGAUAUCAUCGUUACCAAUGGAAAAUCCGUUGUUGAUUAUCGCAAGUGAAAGUAAAUAACUUUUAUCAACGGAUAAUCUAUUUCUAAUUAUCAACGAAUUGCAUUCGUUGGUAAUUUUUCAUAGGUAAAAAGCUGCUUUUUAGUAGUGUUUCUUUUAUGGGUAUUUUUCUUACGAGAAAUCUGCACCGGCAUUCUCGUAUGGAUAUGAGAUUUCAAUAAUGCAUUUGAGGUAGUAAAUUUUGAUUAAUUUCAUUGUUUCUUUUUGCAUCUUUGGUGAAAUUUUUAAGUAAGAUUGCAAUUUUUUUGCUUCAUGAGGCUGAAAAAUGUGGAAUUUUAUUCAUGUUAUUGACUAGCAAUUCAAUGGUCUUUUGUCAAAAUUUAUUCUUUUUCAAGAAGAAAAGUAGUUCACGAAAUUCAUUUUCCUAUCAUAUUUUGUCUAGUUCCGUGGUUCUUUUGAGUACUGGGAGAAGAAAAUCUUCUCGACAGAUUCCAAAUGCCAUGAAAAGACAUUAAAAGUGGAUAAGUUGGUGGCAGAGAUUUUUUCUUGAGGAUGAUGAGAACUAGCUUGCUUUGAAGGAUAAGGAUAUGUUUGAGGGUGUGGAAUCGGAGGAGGGCUCCAGUGGUGAUGAAUUCUCUGAGAACAAAAAGUUUGAGGAGUGGAAAAGCCAGUUGAGGCGAUCAUAGAGUUAAGGGAAGCACAAGAGAAUGCAAAGAAUAAUGAGAAUAGAAGGUGGGAGGACUGGCUUGUGAAUGGAACUAAUGGUGCAUCAUGGGUUCAAGAAUUCAAUGGCACAGUUGGAGAACCUUUAAAUGAUGUGGGAGAAGAUUUUAGUGAGCUAAUUUCUGGUAGAGGAUUGAUUAAGUCAGUAAGGGAGUUGUUUCAAUGCAGAGAAGAUGACGACAUUCCGUAUGAAGAACAUAUCUUCCGUUAUGCUUCAUUCAAUUCGGCAAGUGACUUCAUGACAAUUUUUUAAAUAUCUAAUUUGCUUUCACGCAUUAAAUUAAAUUCUUAUUUAUGUUAUAAUUUAUCAUUAUCAAUCUCAAUCUUUGAUUCCUUGAUCAUGAAUUAUUAUAGCACGAUAAUUGACUGAUAUCGAAUCAAUUGCUAAACUCAAGUUUGUAAGACCAUCAACUGGACAAUCAGCUUUCUGCACAGUGACACCACGCCUUUCAGUGUGGAAAGUAUACUUCAAGUAAAAAAAUUGUCGUACUAUACUAUGACAUUUGAAGCAUUAUGAACAAAAGCUGAGAUGAAGCAAGCAUCUUUGUUUAACCUUUAUAUAAGAUUGAACGUGUAUUUCUAUGUUUUGACCGGCUAAAUUUUUGGCCAUACUUGUUAUUGUUCCAUAGGCUAUGGAUUUCUUGGUUCACGACUAAGUUCUUAUGCAAUUUCUGGAAGGAUGAUAAUUGAC